AUGUCAAGGCUCUGCCUAAAUUCGUUGGGGUUCUGUCUCGUGAUGAAUUAUACCAAGAUAUAUCCAAAAAUAUUUCUGACACCCCUAAUAUAUUUAGAAUACCCCGAAUGCGAAAACCGGUCCCAAAUACUUUUAUAUAAUUAAAUAACAAAUAAAACAAAUUCCAAGGGUCGCUCGCGGGCCGCGACAGCUCAACGAUAAGCGAAAACAUGGUGCCGCCACGUGUCGAUGACUCAGCAAACCCUAGCCGCCUUUUCUGGACCUUGUGGGCCGCGUAGCCCUUAGCUACAUCUUACGCGGGCCGCGUAAAACUCGAAAUCAGAAACUAUAAAUAAGAGGCAUCGGCUGUCCAUUCCAAUUCGUUCAAAAUUCAAUUUCUCUCUCAAUUUCUGUAGUGUAGGCCCUAUACCCGGGCAUUAUACCCCCCCCCCUAAUUAGCGAAGCUCUGCCUCGUUAUUAUAACCUGGAAGUCACAAAGGAAAGCCCUAUAACAGCAAUGUAACUUAGUGUGAAGCCAAUAAAAGUCAGCUGGAGAGCACUGAAGGCUUAAAAAAGUGGCAAUAAAAGUUACCUAAUUAAAAAGGAGAAUUGUUUCCAAUAAUUAGGAUUAUUCCCUAUAAAUGUAUCAAAAUGAAAAAUCGGGUUUUGUCCCACUUAUAAAUAUAUUAUCAGAAAAACU
This 679-nucleotide long non-coding RNA is filed under the name Helianthus annuus (common sunflower). The record is from RNAcentral. Lineage: Eukaryota; Viridiplantae; Streptophyta; Magnoliopsida; Asterales; Asteraceae.